GCCUACAGCCACACCACCCUGAAAGCACCUCAUCUCGGAAGCGGUUCAGGGCCGGGCCUGGUUUGUACCUGGAUGGGAGACCGCCUGGGAAUAUCAGGUGUCGUAGGCU
RNAcentral lists this ribosomal RNA (109 nucleotides) under Xenopus laevis (African clawed frog). The record is from RNAcentral. Lineage: Eukaryota; Metazoa; Chordata; Amphibia; Anura; Pipidae.